Molecule: ribosomal RNA, 484 nt
Filed under: uncultured bacterium
Lineage: Bacteria
Description: partial 16S ribosomal RNA
Rfam family: Bacterial small subunit ribosomal RNA
Source: RNAcentral
GUUGAACGCUGGCGGCGUGCCUAACACAUGCAAGUCGAGCGGAUGAAGGGAGCUUUCGCCUCUCUGCAGCUACGGACGGGUGAGUAAUUCCUAGGAAGCUGCCUUGUAUUUGAGGGUGAGGUCCGUUAACGGGCGCUGAGACCGCAUACGUCCUUAUGUAGAAAGUGGUGGAUCUUCGGACCUCACGCGAUCAGAUGACCCUAAGUCGGAUUAGCUAGUUGGUUGGGUAAGGGCGUACCAAGGCGACGAUCCGUAACUGAGCUGAGAGGAUGAUCAGUCACACUGGAACUGAGACACGGUCCAGACUCCUACGGGAGGCAGCAGUAGGGAAUCUUGCACAAUGGGCGAAAGCCUGACCGAGCCACGCCGCGUGUGUGAAGAAGGUCUUCGGAUCGUAAAGCUCUUUUAGUUGGGAAGAAGGAAAGUAAAUUAAUCUAUUGCUGUCUUGACGUUACCAAAAGAAAAAGCCACGGCUAACUUCGUG